UUUUCACUAAACCCGCUUUCUGAAACAGGCCUCAGGUGUCAUUCAAAUGAGAGUUGUGAAAGUCUGGCAGAAAAACAAUGACGUUUCCUUUACUAUAUGGAAGUCAUGGCUGACUUCAGGUCUUGGACACCAGGUCAUGUUGCCAGAAGAUAUGAAACUUCUUCUCUUGGGUGAGUUUCUGGCUUGCAAAUACAUGUGCAAUACAAGGCCUGUAAUCAGCUUCCUUUCCCAAAUAUCUUAUGCUCAUCUCAUACUUUUACCUACGUGGUUUAGUUACAUAACUCUGUGAAUGAGUUGGGCACUGUGGCUGUGUACAAAAGUAUAAUUAAUGUCUGGUUUCAUUUUAAAUUGUAUUAAUUCUGUUUAUUUGACAAUAAUUGUCUUCGGUGGGAUUUAAUUGAAAUAUUUAACAUGAAAUGUCAAUUUUAGAAUAUAUUUUGCUAAGCCAUGUUCAUUCUCUACAUCAAAUUGCUUAAUCUUUCUAUUCGAGCCUGCUCACAACUGUCAAUCUUGUUCCCUAAAGUCAAUUACUUUCAUUAAAAACGAUACUAAACUGCAUUUGAGGUAGCUGUAAGAUAUCACAUCCAGAUCUUGUCAUAUCACUUAUGAUCCCAGUGAAGAUGCAACAAAGCCAUUUAAGAGAGGAUGACUGAGCAGCAUUGGUAAUUUUUAGUUUAGUUGAAGCCCACACCUUUACAGUUGCUAUAUGAACAUCACACACUACUUCUUGCACUGGAACAAAAUGUUUGUUUUGUUUAUAAAUAUUUAUUACCCCAUGUUGAAACUGGUGAAAUACAACUUAUCAUACAGCUACUUUAUGAUUUCGCAACAUAUAUAAAAUAAAAGAAACAACCUAACUAUUGACUGGGAUUAUAUCAUGCAUUCAGUGAAAAAAGGCAGCAGUUCCAAUUGCUUUUGUAAAAGCACUACCAUUUUAAUGAAAUUCUAAUUUCCUUACUGUACUCUAGAUCCACAUAAUUGAAAACACAGAAAAAAUAGACUAUUUCUAAAUCCUUUCAAAAUCUAGCAAACAUUAGUUUGACAUUCUGAUGAAAUUGAUAAAUCUUGACUCAUCUGCUACUCUAAUUUGGGUGCUUUGGAAAUGUCUUACCUACUGUAUCCCAUUAACGUCAAUCAAUGGAUUAUAUAACAUUACGACAUGUCAGUGAUCAUUUCAAUUCAUCACAGACUUAAUCACAUGUUUUCUUUUUCUUUUUGUAAAUUUAGGGAGAUCUCAAAUGUCUCUCUCUAAACUGGGAAAAGAAGUUAAUCAAAUAAAGUGGUAUUGAGCAUAUCAA
Long non-coding RNA from Micropterus salmoides (largemouth bass), 1298 nucleotides. RefSeq lists it as uncharacterized. The transcript has 2 exons. The record is from RefSeq and is a predicted model, not a curated record. Lineage: Eukaryota; Metazoa; Chordata; Actinopteri; Centrarchiformes; Centrarchidae.